CGUAGGGGGCGAGCGUUGUCCGGAAUUAUUGGGCGUAAAGAGCUCGUAGGCGGUUCGGCAAGUCACGUGUGAAAUCUCCACGCUCAACGUGGAGGCGCCACGUGAGACCGCUGUGACUCGAGUCCGGUAGGGGAGCGUGGAAUUCCCGGUGUAGCGGUGAAAUGCGCAGAGAUCGGGAGGAACACCCGUAGCGAAGGCGGCGCUCUGGGCCGGUACUGACGCUGAGGAGCGAAAGCGUGGGGAGCAAACAGGAUUAGAUACCCUGGUAGUCCACGCCGUAAACGUUGGGCACUAGGUGUGGGGCUCUAUCGACGGGCUCCGUGCCGUAGCUAACGCAUUAAGUGCCCCGCCUGGGGAGUACGGCCGCAAGGCUA
RNAcentral lists this ribosomal RNA (374 nucleotides) under uncultured organism. Its description in RNAcentral is "bacterial SSU rRNA". It matches the Rfam family "Bacterial small subunit ribosomal RNA", at positions 526 to 896 of the family's 1533-position model. The record is from RNAcentral.